CAUACUGUGAACUGCGAAUGGCUCAUUAAAUCAGUUAUCGUUUAUUUGAUAGUACCUUUACCUGGAUAACCGUGGUAAUUCUAGAGCUAAUACAUGCUAAAAACCCCGACUUCGGGAGGGGUGUAUUUAUUAGAUAAAAAACCGAUGCCCUUCGGGGCUCCUUGGUGAUUCAUAAUAACUUAACGAAUCGCAUGGCCUUGCGCCGGCGAUGGUUCAUUCAAAUUUCUGCCCUAUCAACUUUCGAUUGUAGGAUAGAGGCCUACAAUGGUCUUGACGGGUAACGGGGAAUUAGGGUUCUAUUCCGGAGAGGGAGCCUGAGAAACGUUUUAGGGAUCCAAGGAAGGCAGCAGGCGCGCAAAUUACCCAAUCCCGAUACGGGGAGGUAGUGACAAUAAAUACUGAUACGGGGCUCUUUCGGGUCUCGUAAUUGGAAUGAGUACAAUCUAAAUCCCUUAACGAGGAACAAUUGGAGGGCAAGUCUGGUGCCAGCAGCCGCGGUAAUUCCAGCUCCAAUAGCGUAUAUUAAAGUUGUUGCCGUUAAAAAGCUCGUAGUUGAACCUUGGCCCUGGCUGAUCUGUCCUCCUAAUCGAGCGCACGGAUUCGGUCGGGGCUUUCCUUCUGGGGAGCCCCAUGCCCUUCACUGGGUGUGGUGGGGAACCAGGACUUUUACCUUGAAAAAAUUAGAGUGUUCAAAGCAGGCCUUUGCUCGAAUACAUUAGCAUGGAAUAAUAGAAUAGGACAUCGGUUCUAUUUUGUUGGUUUCUAGGACCGCUGUAAUGAUUAAUAGGGACAGUCGGGGGCGUCAGUAUUCAAUUGUCAGAGGUGAAAUUCUUGGAUUUAUUGAAGACUAACUACUGCGAAAGCAUUCGCCAAGGAUGUUUUCAUUAAUCAGUGAACGAAAGUUAGGGGAUCGAAGACGAUCAGAUACCGUCGUAGUCUUAACCAUAAACUAUGCCGACUAGGGAUCGGACGGUGGUUUUUUUAUGCCCCGUUCGGCACCUUAC
Molecule: ribosomal RNA, 1004 nt
Filed under: Aculeata aquatica
Lineage: Eukaryota; Fungi; Ascomycota; Eurotiomycetes; Chaetothyriales; Herpotrichiellaceae
Description: SSU rRNA
Rfam family: Eukaryotic small subunit ribosomal RNA
Source: RNAcentral